UGCUGACCGGGUGCCUGCACUAAGUUCGGCAUCAAUAUGGUGACCUCCUGGGAGCGGGGGGGCCACCAAGUUGCCUAAGGAUGGCUGAACUGGCCCAGGUCAGAAACGGAGCAGGUCAGAACUCCUGCACACGACUGGUAGUGGGACUGUGCCUGGGCG
This 159-nucleotide small RNA is filed under the name Macaca mulatta (Rhesus monkey). RNAcentral's name for it is "Metazoan signal recognition particle RNA (ENSMMUG00000062337.1)". It matches the Rfam family "Metazoan signal recognition particle RNA", at positions 96 to 252 of the family's 299-position model. From Rfam's summary of the family: The signal recognition particle (SRP) is a universally conserved ribonucleoprotein. It is involved in the co-translational targeting of proteins to membranes. The record is from Rfam by way of RNAcentral. Lineage: Eukaryota; Metazoa; Chordata; Mammalia; Primates; Cercopithecidae.